GAGGUUCGGGGUUUUGGGUCGUGUCAAUGACCUCCGUCGGGCGUUAGGUCGUGAUCGAGCUCUCGUCAUUGGGCGAUGAAGACGACGAAAUGGUUAGCGAGGGGGAGGACAAGAAGAUACUCUUCGGAUCCAUUACGAACUCUUAAGUACUUUCCGUUGUGGAGGCUUUUACGAAGGAGGAGAAGGCAAGUGAGGACGAUGAAUGCUGCAUUCUCGCCUUUGACCCUAUUGAUUCCUUAACGCCGACCUCAAUCACAGUUUUAACUUGGAGAAUCACAAUAAAGUGGCAAGGUGUCAAACUUCAAAAUAAGAUCGAGCCAAUAGUGAUGAUGAAGACUUAUGAGUGGAUGCUACAAAGUUGUAACUUUGACCGGCGACUUGAGCUAGGAUAUUGAAGAGUGCUAUUGCUACGUAUGGGACGAGGUUGCACCCUGCAUAUUUUGGAAGGCAAACUCUUCUGGUCAUUUCCACGCGUCUGACAAAGAGGAGAACUGGAAGAAUUUAAGGCUUUUAACAAGAAUUAGCCAUCAAAACAGGGAGCAGAAUUCUUCAUUCCCUGCUAACUGCUCAAAGUAGUGUACUCUGACGCGGAUCUGAUGGGAGGUACGACUUCUUGCAGUUGGCUAAUUUUUAUGUGUUUUAUUUUGCCAUUGAAGAUCAGUUACGUGCUAUGAAGAAUUAUGCCAAGUAUUAGAAAAAUUAUUAGGCGUGUAACCUCUUUUGAUUAUAUCCACACAUAUUUUUAAGGGAGAGGUUUUUCAUCUUUUUAAAUUUGUCGACAAGAAAGGAAAGUGCUACUUUUAGAUUCUUCCUGGCAAUAUUGAAAUCCAUAUACAAUUAUUUAAAAAAUGGCGCUUAAAGAUUUGGGCAGUUCGAUAUUAAGUUGUUGUGCCAGCCUUUGAUUUUUAUAAAUUUUUAUUUAUAUAAUUCUAACAAAAUAAUUAAUCCUAGCUCAUUUGCAUUAUUAUAUUGGAUUUUUGUAGAAAGUGGGAAGACUAUUUUUGUCUGAACUUUGCUUUCACUCUUCUCCUGCUUAAUUUUAGAAAAUAUUCCACAAAAUUCUCAUUUUAUAUGUAUUUUUUCUAUGGUUUUGUCAGCUAAUAAGAACAAUGAUAUGAAACAAUUUCUAUUUAUACAUAAGAUGAAUCUCUUACAUUUGACCACAUUAAACCAUAAUAAAACUUCUUAUCCCUAAUUGUCUUGCUAAGGCUCUAAUACUAAUAAUAUGAUGGCAUCUGUCCACCAAAGCUCUCAGUACUAUUAAAAUUUAACAGUUCUACAUAUCCUUUAUAGAAAUAAAAGUGCAAUGCAAUUUUCAAAAUUCAAAAUGGCAAUGUGUAAAACGAUAAAUUUUCAUUUAACAUUCAAAUGUCAUUUAAUAUCAUAACUGUUUUCCUCUUUUUUUUUUACUCAUCCAAUUGUCAUCCAAAUUUCAAAUUUUAAUAAUCAAACUUUAAUUCUGUUUUUCCCCUAAUUUCAUCAUUUCUUUUUAUUAUUUGAUCAAUGAACAUCUGUUGGGAGUGCCAAACAUCGCAGGAGAAAAUCUAAAAAAAAAAAAAGUUUUUAGUUUCUAUUUUCUGUUGUUGGCCCCGGUUCUUAUUAUGUUCUUUUGGUUGUGGGGUUGUUUCUUUUGGUUGUUUUGCUAUUUCUGUUGUGGGGCUCUGUGUGUUUGUUUGAUUUGGGUAAGCUGUGGGGUUUUGCUUGCUCGGUUGGGGGUCUUUGUGUUGACAGCAGGCGGUGGGGUUUUGGUUGCUUUUGGAUGGUGUUUGGGAUUAGGAAUGGUUGGGGUGUUUGGGUUGGAGGUGAGCUGAUUGUGUUGCUUUCUGUGGGUGAUCCGGUUGGCUUUG
Molecule: long non-coding RNA, 1847 nt
Organism: Dendrobium catenatum
Lineage: Eukaryota; Viridiplantae; Streptophyta; Magnoliopsida; Asparagales; Orchidaceae
Exons: 3
Source: RefSeq, a predicted model, not a curated record